Pelobates cultripes (western spadefoot toad) is the source of this 246-nucleotide non-coding RNA. The record is from the annotation of a GenBank genome assembly. NCBI's taxonomy places the organism in Eukaryota, Metazoa, Chordata, Amphibia, Anura, Pelobatidae.
GCCGGGCUUGUAAUGAGGUCCUGUUGGGGGCUGGCAGCAAGCUGUUACUUGCCUAUACAGAAGCUCCUGUCAGCUUCCUUCUCCUCCGUGCUGUCUCGCGGGAGCCGCGGUGUCAGAGCGUUGCCCCGGGUUACCGUGGCAACUCUCCGCGCGGCACUCAGGCCGGGAGAUUUACACUGGAGCUGAACGGCACGGAGGAGAAGGGAGCUGACAGGAGCUGCUGUAAAGGUAAGUAACAGCUUGCUC